UAGCGUAUAUUAAAGUUGUUGCGGUUAAAAAGCUCGUAGUUGGAUUUCUGUUGAGGGCAGGCGGUCCACCUCUUGGGUGAGUAUCUGCAUUGGCCUCGGCAUCUUCUCGAAAUUUGUAUCUGCGCUUGACUGCGUGGUGCAACGUUCGGGACUUUUACUUUGAGGAAAUUAGAGUGUUCACGGCAGGCAUACGCCUUGAAUAUAUUAGCAUGGAAUAAUAAUAUAGGAUCUUGGUUCUAUUUUGUUGGUUUCUAGAGCUAAGAUAAUGAUUAAUAGGAACAGUUGGGGGCAUUCGUAUUAACGCGUC
RNAcentral lists this ribosomal RNA (307 nucleotides) under Amoebophrya sp. Its description in RNAcentral is "SSU rRNA". It matches the Rfam family "Eukaryotic small subunit ribosomal RNA", at positions 595 to 906 of the family's 1831-position model. The record is from RNAcentral. Lineage: Eukaryota; Dinophyceae; Syndiniales; Amoebophryaceae.